ACUAAGCGUACACGGUGGAUGCCCUGGCAGUCAGAGGCGAUGAAGGACGUGCUAAUCUGCGAAAAGCGUCGGUAAGGUGAUAUGAACCGUUAUAACCGGCGAUGUCCGAAUGGGGAAACCCAGUGCAAUUCGUUGCACUAUCGUUAACUGAAUACAUAGGUUAACGAGGCGAACCGGGGGAACUGAAACAUCUAAGUACCCCGAGGAAAAGAAAUCAACCGAGAUUCCCCCAGUAGCGGCGAGCGAACGGGGAGCAGCCCAGAGUCUGAAUCAGCUUGUGUGUUAGUGGAACGGUCUGGAAAGUCCGACGGUACAGGGUGAUAGUCCCGUACACCAAAAUGCACAGGUUGUGAACUCGAAGAGUAGGGCGGGACACGUGGUAUCCUGUCUGAAUAUGGGGGGACCAUCCUCCAAGGCUAAAUACUCCUGACUGACCGAUAGUGAACCAGUACCGUGAGGGAAAGGCGAAAAGAACCCCGGCGAGGGGAGUGAAAAAGAACCUGAAACCGUGUACGUACAAGCAGUGGGAGCACCUUCGGGUGUGACUGCGUACCUUUUGUAUAAUGGGUCAGCGACUUAUAUUCUGUAGCAAGGUUAACCGUAUAGGGGAGCCGCAGGGAAACCGAGUCUUAACUGGGCGUUAAGUUGCAGGGUAUAGACCCGAAACCCGGUGAUCUAGCCAUGGGCAGGUUGAAGGUUGGGUAACACUAACUGGAGGACCGAACCGACUAAUGUUGAAAAAUUAGCGGAUGACUUGUGGCUGGGGGUGAAAGGCCAAUCAAACCGGGAGAUAGCUGGUUCUCCCCGAAAGCUAUUUAGGUAGCGCCUCGUGAAUUCAUCUUCGGGGGUAGAGCACUGUUUCGGCUAGGGGGUCAUCCCGACUUACCAACCCGAUGCAAACUACGAAUACCGAAGAAUGUUAUCACGGGAGACACACGGCGGGUGCUAACGUCCGUCGUGAAGAGGGAAACAACCCAGACCGCCAGCUAAGGUCCCAAAGUCAUGGUUAAGUGGGAAACGAUGUGGGAAGGCACAGACAGCCAGGAUGUUGGCUUAGAAGCAGCCAUCAUUUAAAGAAAGCGUAAUAGCUCACUGGUCGAGUCGGCCUGCGCGGAAGAUGUAACGGGGCUAAACCAUGCACCGAAGCUGCGGCAGCGACACUAUGUGUUGUUGGGUAGGGGAGCGUUCUGUAAGCCUGCGAAGGUGACCUGUGAGGGUUGCUGGAGGUAUCAGAAGUGCGAAUGCUGACAUAAGUAACGAUAAAGCGGGUGAAAAGCCCGCUCGCCGGAAGACCAAGGGUUCCUGUCCAACGUUAAUCGGGGCAGGGUGAGUCGACCCCUAAGGCGAGGCCGAAAGGCGUAGUCGAUGGGAAACAGGUUAAUAUUCCUGUACUUGGUGUUACUGCGAAGGGGGGACGGAGAAGGCUAUGUUAGCCGGGCGACGGUUGUCCCGGUUUAAGCAUGUAGGCUGGUUGUCCAGGCAAAUCCGGAUAAUCAAGGCUGAGGUGUGAUGACGAGGCACUACGGUGCUGAAGUAACAAAUGCCCUGCUUCCAGGAAAAGCCUCUAAGCAUCAGGUAACAUUAAAUCGUACCCCAAACCGACACAGGUGGUCAGGUAGAGAAUACCAAGGCGCUUGAGAGAACUCGGGUGAAGGAACUAGGCAAAAUGGUGCCGUAACUUCGGGAGAAGGCACGCUGGUGUGUAGGUGAAGUCCCUGCGGAUGGAGCUGAGACCAGUCGAAGAUACCAGCUGGCUGCAACUGUUUAUUAAAAACACAGCACUGUGCAAACACGAAAGUGGACGUAUACGGUGUGACGCCUGCCCGGUGCCGGAAGGUUAAUUGAUGGGGUUAUCCGUAAGGAGAAGCUCUUGAUCGAAGCCCCGGUAAACGGCGGCCGUAACUAUAACGGUCCUAAGGUAGCGAAAUUCCUUGUCGGGUAAGUUCCGACCUGCACGAAUGGCGUAAUGAUGGCCAGGCUGUCUCCACCCGAGACUCAGUGAAAUUGAACUCGCUGUGAAGAUGCAGUGUACCCGCGGCAAGACGGAAAGACCCCGUGAACCUUUACUAUAGCUUGACACUGAACAUUGAGCCUUGAUGUGUAGGAUAGGUGGGAGGCUUUGAAGCGUGGACGCCAGUCUGCGUGGAGCCAACCUUGAAAUACCACCCUUUAAUGUUUGAUGUUCUAACGUUGGCCCCUGACCGGGGUUGCGGACAGUGUCUGGUGGGUAGUUUGACUGGGGCGGUCUCCUCCCAAAGCGUAACGGAGGAGCACGAAGGUUAGCUAAUCCUGGUCGGACAUCAGGAGGUUAGUGCAAUGGCAUAAGCUAGCUUGACUGCGAGCGUGACGGCGCGAGCAGGUGCGAAAGCAGGUCAUAGUGAUCCGGUGGUUCUGAAUGGAAGGGCCAUCGCUCAACGGAUAAAAGGUACUCCGGGGAUAACAGGCUGAUACCGCCCAAGAGUUCAUAUCGACGGCGGUGUUUGGCACCUCGAUGUCGGCUCAUCACAUCCUGGGGCUGAAGUAGGUCCCAAGGGUAUGGCUGUUCGCCAUUUAAAGUGGUACGCGAGCUGGGUUUAGAACGUCGUGAGACAGUUCGGUCCCUAUCUGCCGUGGGCGCUGGAGAAUUGAGGGGGGCUGCUCCUAGUACGAGAGGACCGGAGUGGACGCAUCACUGGUGUUCGGGUUGUCAUGCCAAUGGCACUGCCCGGUAGCUAAAUGCGGAAGAGAUAAGUGCUGAAAGCAUCUAAGCACGAAACUUGCCCCGAGAUGAGUUCUCCCUGAGACUUUAAGUCUCCUGAAGGAACGUUAAAGACGAUGACGUUGAUAGGCCGGGUGUGUAAGCGCAGCGAUGCGUUGAGCUAACCGGUACUAAUGAACCGUGAGGCUUAACC
RNAcentral lists this ribosomal RNA (2891 nucleotides) under Klebsiella pneumoniae. RNAcentral describes it as "bacterial LSU rRNA". It matches the Rfam family "Bacterial large subunit ribosomal RNA". The record is from RNAcentral. Lineage: Bacteria; Pseudomonadati; Pseudomonadota; Gammaproteobacteria; Enterobacterales; Enterobacteriaceae.